CAGGCCUAACACAUGCAAGUCGAGCGGAUGACGGGAGCUUGCUCCUGUAUUCAGCGGCGGACGGGUGAGUAAUGCCUAGGAAUCUGCCUGAUAGUGGGGGACAACGUUUCGAAAGGAACGCUAAUACCGCAUACGUCCUACGGGAGAAAGCAGGGGACCUUCGGGCCUUGCGCUAUCAGAUGAGCCUAGGUCGGAUUAGCUUGUUGGUGAGGUAAUGGCUCACCAAGGCGACGAUCCGUAACUGGUCUGAGAGGAUGAUCAGUCACACUGGAACUGAGACACGGUCCAGACUCCUACGGGAGGCAGCAGUGGGGAAUAUUGGACAAUGGGCGAAAGCCUGAUCCAGCCAUGCCGCGUGUGUGAAGAAGGUCUUCGGAUUGUAAAGCACUUUAAGUUGGGAGGAAGGGUUGUAGAUUAAUACUCUGCAAUUUUGACGUUACCGACAGAAUAAGCACCGGCUAACUCUGUGCCAGCAGCCGCGGUAAU
RNAcentral lists this ribosomal RNA (486 nucleotides) under uncultured bacterium. RNAcentral describes it as "bacterial SSU rRNA". It matches the Rfam family "Bacterial small subunit ribosomal RNA", at positions 43 to 524 of the family's 1533-position model. The record is from RNAcentral.